Molecule: non-coding RNA, 172 nt
Filed under: Solanum tuberosum (potato)
Lineage: Eukaryota; Viridiplantae; Streptophyta; Magnoliopsida; Solanales; Solanaceae
Description: Bacterial small subunit ribosomal RNA
Rfam family: Bacterial small subunit ribosomal RNA
Source: Rfam by way of RNAcentral
UGAGUAACGCGUAAGAACCUGCUCUUGAGAGGGGAACAACAGCUGGAAACGGCUGCUAAGACCUGUGGACAGAGGAGCAAAAGGAGGAAUCUGCCCGAGGAGUGUCUUGUGUCUGAUUAACUAUUGGUGAGGCAAUAACUUACCAAGGCGAUGAUCAGCCACACUAGAGUCA